RNAcentral lists this unclassified non-coding RNA (212 nucleotides) under Hevea brasiliensis (rubber tree). The record is from RNAcentral. Lineage: Eukaryota; Viridiplantae; Streptophyta; Magnoliopsida; Malpighiales; Euphorbiaceae.
CCACCAGAUGCCCUGAUGUGCUCUUGCAGCAAGUAACAACCAAUGAUGAGGCAUAUCAAGACACCAACCCAGCUGUUCUUCAACGUGUGUGCAAAGAAGCUGGGAGCCACAACCAGAAGAAGAAUCAAUGAUCCUGGCAUCUCCAGCCAAUCUGGGAAGUGUCGAGGAAAGAAAAGCCUAAGCACCACUGCAAUGAAAGCAAUCCAUUUUCC